RNAcentral lists this ribosomal RNA (491 nucleotides) under uncultured bacterium. RNAcentral describes it as "bacterial SSU rRNA". It matches the Rfam family "Bacterial small subunit ribosomal RNA", at positions 24 to 507 of the family's 1533-position model. The record is from RNAcentral.
UCAGGAUGAACGCUAGCUACAGGCUUAACACAUGCAAGUCGAGGGGCAGCACAGUGUAGCAAUACACGGGUGGCGACCGGCGCACGGGUGCGUAACGCGUAUCCAACUUUCCCGUUACUCUCGGAUAGCCUUCCGAAAGGGAGAUUAAUACGAGAUGGUGUUCAGUUUCCGCAUGUUUGCCGAACUAAAGAUUCAUCGGUAACGGAUAGGGAUGCGUGACAUUAGGUAGUUGGUGAGGUAACGGCUCACCAAGCCCGCGAUGGAUAGGGGGUUCUGAGAGGAAGGUCCCCCACACUGGAACUGAGACACGGUCCAGACUCCUACGGGAGGCAGCAGUGAGGAAUAUUGGUCAAUGGUCGGAAGACUGAACCAGCCAAGUAGCGUGAGGGACGACUGCCCUAUGGGUUGUAAACCUCUUUUAUAUGGGAAUAAAAAGGUCUACGUGUAGGCCAUUGUAUGUACCUUAUGAAUAAGCAUCGGCUAAUUCCGUG